RNAcentral lists this ribosomal RNA (253 nucleotides) under uncultured bacterium. Its description in RNAcentral is "partial 16S ribosomal RNA". It matches the Rfam family "Bacterial small subunit ribosomal RNA", at positions 524 to 776 of the family's 1533-position model. The record is from RNAcentral.
UACGUAGGUGACAAGCGUUGUCCGGAUUUACUGGGCGUAAAGAGCGCGCAGGCGGUCGAUUUAGUCGAGUGUGAAAGCCCCCGGCUCAACUGGGGAGGGUCACUCGAUACUGAUCGACUCGAAGGCGGGAGAGGGCAGCGGAAUUCCCGGUGUAGUGGUGAAAUGCGUAGAUAUCGGGAGGAACACCAGUGGCGAAGGCGGCUGCCUGGCCCGUUCUUGACGCUGAGGCGCGAAAGCUAGGGGAGCAAACGGG